CACACCGCCCGUCACACCACGAAAGUCGGCAACACCUGAAGCCGGUGCGCUAACCGCAAGGAGGCAGCCGGCCACGGUAGGAUCAGCAACUGGGGUG
This 97-nucleotide ribosomal RNA is filed under the name uncultured bacterium. RNAcentral's name for it is "partial 16S ribosomal RNA". It matches the Rfam family "Bacterial small subunit ribosomal RNA", at positions 1386 to 1482 of the family's 1533-position model. The record is from RNAcentral.